AGCUCGAAAAGGCAAACCAUCCGAAAGGGUGGGACGCAAAGCCACUGACCUUAAUCCUGGAGGAAGGAAAGGCAGCAGGGCUGCCGAG
This 88-nucleotide non-coding RNA is filed under the name Desulfobacterales bacterium. RNAcentral's name for it is "c-di-GMP sequence". It matches the Rfam family "c-di-GMP-I riboswitch aptamer". From Rfam's summary of the family: GEMM was predicted in a large-scale screen for bacterial structured RNA regulatory elements. Genes associated with GEMM are involved in a diverse array of functions, including chemotaxis regulation, signal transduction, secretion and chitin. Lineage: Bacteria; Pseudomonadati; Thermodesulfobacteriota; Desulfobacteria; Desulfobacterales. The record is from RNAcentral.